Molecule: unclassified non-coding RNA, 297 nt
Filed under: Hevea brasiliensis (rubber tree)
Lineage: Eukaryota; Viridiplantae; Streptophyta; Magnoliopsida; Malpighiales; Euphorbiaceae
Source: RNAcentral
AGUAGAUGUUCAGAACAUCCUUGAAACACUUGGAGCUGGUCAUGGUGGAAGGGUAAAACUCGCAAGGAAGUAUCAUCAAGCAUUAGAGGCAUCUAUUGCUCGAAAUUUUCCUGAUAAUGGAAUUAUUUCAUGCAUGAGCCAUAGUAAUGAUAGUUUGUUCAGUGCAAAGCGUUCAGCUGUAAUUAGAGCAUCGGAUGAUUUCUGGCCACGAGACCCUGCAUCACACACAAUUCACAUAGCAUCAGUGGCGUACAACACCAUUUUCCUUGGUGAAUUCAUGCAGCCUGAUUGGGAUAU